GCAUCAGUGGUUUAGUGGUAAAAUCCGUCGUUGCCAAUUGGUAAAUUCGACGGGCCCCGUGUUCGAUUCACGGCUGAUGCA
This 81-nucleotide transfer RNA is filed under the name Erysiphe necator (grape powdery mildew). It matches the Rfam family "tRNA". From Rfam's summary of the family: Transfer RNA (tRNA) molecules are approximately 80 nucleotides in length. Their secondary structure includes four short double-helical elements and three loops (D, anti-codon, and T loops). Lineage: Eukaryota; Fungi; Ascomycota; Leotiomycetes; Helotiales; Erysiphaceae. The record is from Rfam by way of RNAcentral.